CAAAGUAAAGCUAAAUUUUAGUAUUUCACUUACAUUGAAAAGUUUAAUCGCAAGCCGAUUUACUUUGG
Molecule: transfer RNA, 68 nt
Filed under: Ombrastacoides huonensis
Lineage: Eukaryota; Metazoa; Arthropoda; Malacostraca; Decapoda; Parastacidae
Description: tRNA-Val
Source: RNAcentral